Molecule: ribosomal RNA, 597 nt
Filed under: Trametes versicolor
Lineage: Eukaryota; Fungi; Basidiomycota; Agaricomycetes; Polyporales; Polyporaceae
Description: eukaryotic LSU rRNA
Rfam family: 5.8S ribosomal RNA (bases 202-355)
Source: RNAcentral
CUCGGAAGGAUCAUUAACGAGUUUUGAAACGAGUUGUAGCUGGCCUUCCGAGGCAUGUGCACGCUCUGCUCAUCCACUCUACCCCUGUGCACUUACUGUAGGUUGGCGUGGGCUCCUUUGCGGGAGCAUUCUGCCGGCCUAUGUAUACUACAAACACUUUAAAGUAUCAGAAUGUAAACGCGUCUAACGCAUCUAUAAUACAACUUUUAGCAACGGAUCUCUUGGCUCUCGCAUCGAUGAAGAACGCAGCGAAAUGCGAUAAGUAAUGUGAAUUGCAGAAUUCAGUGAAUCAUCGAAUCUUUGAACGCACCUUGCGCUCCUUGGUAUUCCGAGGAGCAUGCCUGUUUGAGUGUCAUGGAAUUCUCAACUUAUAAAUCCUUGUGAUCUAUAAGCUUGGACUUGGAGGCUUGCUGGCCCUUGCGGUCGGCUCCUCUUGAAUGCAUUAGCUCGAUUCCGUACGGAUCGGCUCUCAGUGUGAUAAUUGUCUACGCUGUGACCGUGAAGUGUUUUGGCGAGCUUCUAACCGUCCAUUAGGACAAAUUUUUAACAUCUGACCUCAAAUCAGGUAGGACUACCCGCUGAACUUAAGCAUAUCAA